CGGGAACUCUGAGACAGGUGCUGCAUGGCUGUCGUCAGCUCGUGUUGUGAAAUGUUGGGUUAAGUCCCGCAACGAGCGCAACCCUUAUCCUUGUUUGCCAGCGAGUAAUGUCGGGAACUCCAGGGAGACUGCCGGUGAUAAACCGGAGGAAGGUGGGGACGACGUCAAGUCAUCAUGGCCCUUACGAGUAGGGCUACACACGUGCUACAAUGGCGCAUACAGAGGGC
This 227-nucleotide ribosomal RNA is filed under the name Vibrio parahaemolyticus. RNAcentral's name for it is "partial 16S ribosomal RNA". It matches the Rfam family "Bacterial small subunit ribosomal RNA", at positions 1021 to 1247 of the family's 1533-position model. The record is from RNAcentral. Lineage: Bacteria; Pseudomonadati; Pseudomonadota; Gammaproteobacteria; Vibrionales; Vibrionaceae.